This is a long non-coding RNA of Cyprinus carpio (common carp), 1232 nucleotides long. The record is from Ensembl. Lineage: Eukaryota; Metazoa; Chordata; Actinopteri; Cypriniformes; Cyprinidae.
UAUGAAUUUCAGAUUAGGGAUAUACAAUACUUUAAAGAGAUAGUUAAUGCGAACAAGAAAAUUCUGUCUGAAUUUAUUCACCUUUAUGUUUUUUUGAAGCUUGCUGGAAAAUUACGCAAAACCACCAUAAAAGUAUCAUACGAUGAUCCAUACAAAAUGUACAGUACCCUAUAGGUCAAUUCAUGAUAGAAAUUGCAAAGUUUGAUUUGUACAUUAAAAGUUUUUGUAAGUCAAAUCUCAUCAAUGGAUCUUUUAAUAGAGUUAAAACAACAACAACAACAAAAAAACAACAACAUUAUGAAUGAUUUGUUCACAAAUCUGAUUCAUUUAUUUUUCAGGUUCAACUCACUGACUCAAUCUAGUCACAGCGAUUCAUGGAAAAUGAAUCAACAGACAUAUCUUUUUUGUUUUACAGAAAAUAAAGAGAGUCAUACAUGUCUAAAACAACAUGAGGGUGAAUAAAUGAACUAUUCCUAUAAUUUACAUGUAAAGGAAAAAAGCAUGCAAGGGAGGUUUGUUUUGUGGAAACUUUAAAAUGUAGCUUCUUGGUUGUUGCAUGCAUAUGUUUUUUCCAGACUGUCCUGCCUGUCACAAAUAGUGUGAUAGACAGCAAGAGAAAGACAGAGAAAUGCAGAUAAAAAGACAGUGGCACUAAAAAAACUCACUGCAUUUAUUUUUCAGCUCUGGUGUGUACAGGCUUGUCUGAGCCAUCAUAAACACCCCCGGCACUCCUCCACACACCCCGGGCAGUGUGCCUGAUUGUCUGUCAGCCAUUGUUGGAGAGGGCUUACACAGUAGAGACAUCUCAUUUACACUUCCUGCCAUCACAUUCAAACACAUAAAAUGUGAUGUCAUUUUUUUUGGUAGGUGACAGAGCUUAUGAGGGCUCCUGCGUGGGAGGAACCAGCUGGCAGAGGGGGAAAAACCGUGGCCUUUUUCCAAGAGCAGUAAGAGUAUUGAUUUGACCUUCAUCUUUAAAUACCAAACAUUGAGGUUUUGGUCUAAUGGGCUCUGUUGUGUUGGUUCACUUUGCGUCCCCAUGCCUGUGAUAUGACUUACACGGCCAGGUGAACGUGGCGGCAUGUUGCCACAGCAGGGCAGUAAAGUGACUUUGACCCUCUGAUCUAGAUGUCCAUAAGUAAUUGCCAAUAACAAUAGGUGAUAGUCUAUCUAUCUAUCUAUCUAUCUAUCUAUCUAUCUAUCUAUCUAUCUAAACUGAAUAUAGACAGCAA